CUUGCACUGGUGCCUUUAAAUAACCAAUGGAAACCCUAUUCCCGCGGCGAUCGGUCCUUUAGACCGGAACGUGCUUGCUCAUCUACAGGAGCAUGACGGGGAUCGCCACCUCCACAGUUCGGUUCGGAGUUGGGUAAGUUUGCCCCGACUCCAAAAUUCACCACGACCAAAUUCUGCGGCCCUGUUUAAAUACUGUCGACAAUAUAUUUCAGCGGUGUCAUUCGUUGCCAUUAUGUAAAGGCCAACAGAAAUUAAGACGGCCGGAUGUUGGGUCAGAACUUAUCUAAUUUGUGGUGGGAGUUUAAAUUCAUUGGUUCUAUGGGUAGCGAUUGGUCUUUAAGAAAGACAUUAACCUGUUAAAUACCGUUAUGGUAUUCUCAUAAAUACCAUUCAAACCUGCCGUGAUAUAGAGAUCCACGAACUCUGCGACAUUGGUGAUUGCGUAAAGACGUAUCUGGUAGCAAGUCGAGUUACACCCAGCACGUUGGCUUCACUCCAAGACUCUGGCCCAAACACAUUUUAGCAGAUGAAAUUGUUUGGGCUAGAACUACUCUGGUUUGCCGAGCGAGGUUAACCACUUCAGCGUUGAACGUCUUGUUCUUGAUCAUGAAGAUUCAAGUUUACGUCCCCGUACGGUGGUUGCCCAUUCACAAGACGGUGUUUUGAUUGCUUGGACUGUGUCUUCGCACAGAAAGGAACUUUGUCUUUAAGAAACAGUCCGUCGUAGUUCUCAACCACAAGUGUCGACAAGUGGCUUGAAGAUCUUGUUUCUACUUUAACUUGUUCUUAAUUUUGCAGAGGAAUACUUCGAUUUCUUAUCCCUAAAUUCCUAAUAUGACUGGAACCGAUUUUUAAUAAAAUUAAGCCAAGGCUUUCAAAUUUGUAAUAAAACAUUCCA
This is a long non-coding RNA of Stomoxys calcitrans (stable fly), 898 nucleotides long. RefSeq lists it as uncharacterized. The transcript has 3 exons. The record is from RefSeq and is a predicted model, not a curated record. Lineage: Eukaryota; Metazoa; Arthropoda; Insecta; Diptera; Muscidae.